AAGUCGUAACAAGGUUUCCGUAGGUGAACCUGCGGAAGGAUCAUUACAGAGUUCAUGCCCUUACGGGUAGAUCUCCCACCCUUGAAUACUAUACCUUUGUUGCUUUGGCGGGCCGCCUCGGCUACCGGCUUCGGCUGGUAAGUGCCCGCCAGAGGACCCUAAACUCUGAAUGUUAAUGUCGUCUGAGUACUAUAUAAUAGUUAAAACUUUCAACAACGGAUCUCUUGGUUCUGGCAUCGAUGAAGAACGCAGCGAAAAUGCGAUAAGUAAUGUGAAAUUGCAGAAUUCAGUGAAUCAUCGAAUCUUUGAAACGCACAUUGCGCCCCUUGGUAUUCCGAGGGGCAUGCCUGUUCGAGCGUCAUUAUAACCCUCAAGCCUAGCUUGGUGUUGGGGCCUGCUGUUACCGGCAGCCCUUAAAACUAGUGGCGGUGCCACCUGGCUCUAAGCGUAGUAAUACUUCUCGCUAUAGAGUCCCGGUGGAUGCUUGCCAUCAACCCCUAAUUUUCUAUGGUUGACCUCGGAUCAGGUAGGGAUACCCGCUGAACUUAA
This 549-nucleotide ribosomal RNA is filed under the name uncultured fungus. RNAcentral's name for it is "eukaryotic LSU rRNA". The stretch from base 205 to 361 matches the Rfam family "5.8S ribosomal RNA". Lineage: Eukaryota; Fungi. The record is from RNAcentral.